CGACCUCAGUUCGGAUUGAAGGCUGAAAUUACGCCUUCCAUGAAGUCGGAAUUGCUAGUAAUGGCAGGUCAGCAUACUGCCGUGAAUACGUUCCCGGGCCUUGUACACACCGCCCGUCACACCAUGAGAGUUGGAGAUACCCGAAGCCUAUGAGCUAACUUUUAGAGGCAGUAGUCGAAGGUAGAAUCAAUGAUUGGGGUGAAGUCGUAACAAGGUAUC
RNAcentral lists this ribosomal RNA (219 nucleotides) under uncultured bacterium. RNAcentral's name for it is "partial 16S ribosomal RNA". It matches the Rfam family "Bacterial small subunit ribosomal RNA", at positions 1283 to 1500 of the family's 1533-position model. The record is from RNAcentral.